UAACGGGGUGCAGCAGGCGCGAAAACUUCGCAAUGCGGGAAACCGUGACGAGGGAAUCCCGAGUGCUCAUAUAAUGUAUGGGCUUUUAUGAUGUGUAAAAAGCAUCAGGAAUAAGGGCUGGGUAAGACCGGUGCCAGCCGCCGCGGUAAUACCGGCAGCUCGAGUGGUAGCCACUUUUAUUGGGCCUAAAGCGUCCGUAGCCUGUCAGGUAAAUCCUUGGGUAAAUCGUACAGCUUAACUGUGCGGCUUCCGAGGAGACUGCCCGACUUGGGACCGGGAGAGGUUGGAGGUACUCCUGGGGUAGGGGUGAAAUCCUGUAAUCCCAGGUGGACCACCGGUGGCGAAGGCGUCCAACCAGAACGGCUCCGACGGUGAGGGACGAAGGCUAGGGGCGCAAACCGGAUUAGAUACCCGGGUAGUCCUAGCUGUAAACGCUGCAGACUUGGUGUUGGAGAUCCUACGAGGGUGUCCAGUGCCGAAGAGAAGUUGUUAAGUUUGCCGCCUGGGAAGUAUGGCCGCAAGGCUGAAACUUAAAGGAAUUGGCGGGGGAGCAC
This 554-nucleotide ribosomal RNA is filed under the name uncultured archaeon. RNAcentral's name for it is "bacterial SSU rRNA". It matches the Rfam family "Archaeal small subunit ribosomal RNA", at positions 323 to 879 of the family's 1478-position model. The record is from RNAcentral.